GGUCUCACUCUGUCACCCAGGCUGGAGUGCAGUGGUGCAGUCAUGGCUCCCUGUAACCUCAACCUCUCAGACUCCAGCAAUCCUCCUGCGACAGGGAGGCAGUCAAUGGUGAAUGCUGGCCUCGCCGAUUACUCACCUGGGGACCUUUCUGAGGAUCAGUUUUCUCAUCUAGAAAAUGGGACAACUGCUAGACCACUGAAGAAAAUACAGAAAACAGCCCCCACACAUCAGCAUGUUUGGUUCCUGCUAGUCUACUUGGAUCUGAGUGUUUUUUCUUGCCAUGAGUGUGACGUGAUUAUCUUCUCCUACAUCACACUGAAGUUUUAUGAGUGA
This 333-nucleotide non-coding RNA is filed under the name Pan troglodytes (chimpanzee). The record is from RNAcentral. Lineage: Eukaryota; Metazoa; Chordata; Mammalia; Primates; Hominidae.